This 608-nucleotide long non-coding RNA is filed under the name Carica papaya (papaya). RNAcentral describes it as "long non-coding RNA (CPAP_LNC012749)". The record is from RNAcentral. Lineage: Eukaryota; Viridiplantae; Streptophyta; Magnoliopsida; Brassicales; Caricaceae.
AAUAAUGGAUUAUCACUCAAUCUUUUCUUGUGAAGUACAGGUACAGAUAGAUGAGUAGAGGGAGGACCCUACUAAACUGAGUAGCCCGAGAGGGUUCGCUUCGAGAGGAUGUGGACCGACUAUUUGAAAUGUUAGAGAGACUCAUCGCUUCCCAGCAGGCCUGGGAGGAAAGGAGGGAGCUACCUGACGCUCCCUUACUGCCACAGGUCGAGCCACCCUUGCAAUGGGAGGAUCUUGAGCCACCCCGCUGCGAUCUUGCUCCUCAAUAGUACCAUCCAGUACCACCACAGUAUGAUCUAAUGCCCCAAUCACAGUACCACCCGACGCCACCAUAAUAUAGCCCGAUGCCCCAACCGCAUCACCCAGUACCACCACAGUAUAAUUCAGUGCCUCCACUAUAAAAUCUAAUACCACCACAGGGUCAUCCAGUCCAUGCCCAGCACAAUCCAGUCCCUCUUUCACGAGACCCAGUUGCUCUCAUGAUGGACCUAGGCUACAUUGAGAGUUAUAAAAGACUAAACUCAUCUACUUUUGUAGGGGUAUUCUCCUUUGAAGAGGCAGAGUACUGGUUGGCUGAGACAGAGAAAGCCUUCACGACUAUUGGGGUG